Molecule: RNase P RNA, 406 nt
Filed under: Pseudorhodobacter turbinis
Lineage: Bacteria; Pseudomonadati; Pseudomonadota; Alphaproteobacteria; Rhodobacterales; Paracoccaceae
Description: Bacterial RNase P class A
Rfam family: Bacterial RNase P class A
About the family: Ribonuclease P (RNase P) is a ubiquitous endoribonuclease, found in archaea, bacteria and eukarya as well as chloroplasts and mitochondria. Its best characterised activity is the generation of mature 5'-ends of tRNAs by cleaving the 5'-leader elements of precursor-tRNAs. Cellular RNase Ps are ribonucleoproteins.
Source: Rfam by way of RNAcentral
GCGGAUGGCUGGAUGGCCGCGUGUGAUGCGAAGUCCUUCGGGAAACCGUAUCAUGCGAGGAAAGUCCGGACUCCAUGAGGCAAGGGUGCCGGGUAACGCCCGGCUGGGGUAACCCAAGGGAAAGCGCCACAGAGAAGAGAACGCCCUGCAUGUCAGGGCAAUGGUGAAACGGUGGGGUAAGAGCCCACCGCGGACGUGGCAACACGGACGGCAUGGCAAGCCCCACCCGGAGCAAUGCCGAAUAGGGGCCUCACGCGGGAUUGCCUUCGGGCAGACCGCAGGGACGCUUCAGCCCAGAGGCCCGGGUUGGCAGCUAGAUCCCACUGGUAACAGUGGGGCCAGAGGAAUGGUCAUCGAAGGGGGGUAACCCCCGGAACAAAAUCCGGCUUAUAGGCCAUCCGCGCAA